GCGCAUUGUUAUGGUCUGAGCGCAGACUACGAAUCUGGGGGUCAGAGGUUCGAAUCCUUUCGGGCGCGCCA
Molecule: transfer RNA, 71 nt
Filed under: Methylobacterium amylolyticum
Lineage: Bacteria; Pseudomonadati; Pseudomonadota; Alphaproteobacteria; Hyphomicrobiales; Methylobacteriaceae
Description: tRNA-Ser
Source: RNAcentral